Molecule: ribosomal RNA, 253 nt
Filed under: uncultured bacterium
Lineage: Bacteria
Description: partial 16S ribosomal RNA
Rfam family: Bacterial small subunit ribosomal RNA
Source: RNAcentral
UACGAGGGGGGCGAGCGUUGUUCGGAAUUAUUGGGCGUAAAGGGUGCGUAGGCGGCCUGACAAGUCUGAUGUGAAAUCCCUGGGCUCAACCCAGGGCCUGCAUCGGAAACUGUCGGGCUUGAGUAUGGGAGAGGUGAGUGGAAUUUCCGGUGUAGCGGUGAAAUGCGUAGAUAUCGGAAGGAACACCUGUGGCGAAAGCGGCUCACUGGACCAUUACUGACGCUGAGGCGCGAAAGCUAGGGGAGCAAACAGG